Cavia porcellus (domestic guinea pig) is the source of this 64-nucleotide transfer RNA. It matches the Rfam family "tRNA". Rfam says of the family: Transfer RNA (tRNA) molecules are approximately 80 nucleotides in length. Their secondary structure includes four short double-helical elements and three loops (D, anti-codon, and T loops). The record is from Rfam. NCBI's taxonomy places the organism in Eukaryota, Metazoa, Chordata, Mammalia, Rodentia, Caviidae.
GGGGAUUUAGCUCAGCGGCAUAAGUACCUGUCUUGCAAGCAGGCAGUGAUGAGUUCAAUCCCCU